AGGAGUGUAGCUCAAAUUGGUAGAGUUCCGGUCUCCAAAACCGGCGGUUUAGGGGUUCGAGCCCCUUCACUCCUG
RNAcentral lists this transfer RNA (75 nucleotides) under Holospora elegans E1. Its description in RNAcentral is "tRNA-Trp". It matches the Rfam family "tRNA". Rfam says of the family: Transfer RNA (tRNA) molecules are approximately 80 nucleotides in length. Their secondary structure includes four short double-helical elements and three loops (D, anti-codon, and T loops). Further hydrogen bonds mediate the characteristic L-shaped molecular structure. tRNAs have two regions of fundamental functional importance: the anti-codon, which is responsible for specific mRNA codon recognition, and the 3' end, to which the tRNAs corresponding amino acid is attached (by aminoacyl-tRNA synthetases). tRNAs cope with the degeneracy of the genetic code in two manners: having more than one tRNA (with a specific anti-codon) for a particular amino acid; and 'wobble' base-pairing, i.e. permitting non-standard base-pairing at the 3rd anti-codon position. The record is from RNAcentral. Lineage: Bacteria; Pseudomonadati; Pseudomonadota; Alphaproteobacteria; Holosporales; Holosporaceae.